UACGUAGGUGGCAAGCGUUGUCCGGAUUUAUUGGGUUUAAAGGGUACGUAGGCGGCCCUGUAAGUCAGUGCUGAAAUAUCCCGGCUUAACCGGGAGGGUGGCAUUGAUACUGCGGGGCUAGAGUACAGAUGAGGUAGGCGGAAUUGACGGUGUAGCGGUGAAAUGCUUAGAUAUCGUCAAGAACACCGAUAGUGAAGACAGCUAACUAAACUUUUACUGACGCUGAGGCACGAAAGUGUGGGGAUCAAACAGG
RNAcentral lists this ribosomal RNA (253 nucleotides) under uncultured bacterium. RNAcentral describes it as "partial 16S ribosomal RNA". It matches the Rfam family "Bacterial small subunit ribosomal RNA", at positions 524 to 776 of the family's 1533-position model. The record is from RNAcentral.